CUAUGGGAACGCGGGUGGCCGCGGCUGGAAGAGGCACUUCUCCGUUUGUAAAACUGCUGAGCUGGCAGUGACUUGUCUCGUGCUUUGUCCUGCGUAGGGAAUGGCUCGCGGCAACGCAGCGCGUGUGCACCGCGGAGCUCCUGGUGCGUGGCUGCUCCUGGCUACACCAGCUGCCCUGGCACCGGAGGGAACGGGCCCCUUCACCAACGUGUGUUGUGGGUUAAAGCCCUCAGAAUACUGUGGGUGCGUGGAAUGCGUGAGGCUUUACCUAUUGCCAGCAGCACGUAGCCCUGUUAUGCUGUUAGUCUUUCCUUCCAUCUUCACGGAGGUAGCUGAGAACAUUCACGUCAUGCUGUUUUCUUCCUCCUUCCUCAGAGAAGGGUUUGCUCACGUGCUUUGUUUUGGCAAUUGGCAUUAUUUCCUUCGGUGUACGCAUUUAUGUAUGUUUAUGUAGAAGUAAGUGUCUACAAAUAUAGUGAGCUCGUGCAGAGUUCAUGGUGGUGAGACUUGCUUAGCUCUGUGCCCUAACCCCGUCUCCUGCCCAGAUGAGCGCUGUGCUCCUGGCUGUGUCUUGAACGUGAGGAACAGAGCUGUCAUCCAGAAAUGCUGUGCUGAGGUCAACAGGAAGGGGGCCCAAGACCUGAGGUUUUACUCAGCAGUCUCCGAGGACGCAAAGCAGAAAGCAGAGACAGAUGUCUGAUAGGGAUUGAAUGUGGGAUGGAAGUAUGCAGUGGUCACUGAUGAAAAGUAUAUUUGCUCCCAGGUAGAAUACAGAGAUACUCAUACAUGCUUUUCAGAGAGAUGAGAAACAGCAGUUCUGGAGCAACUGUCAGCAGCUCUGUUAGCAACUGCCACCGUGCUAGUAACUACCAUUUAUUAUACUACUACUACACUGCAUGACAUUUAUUAAAACAAUUAUUAAGACAGAGGCAUUAACUACAUUUAUACUUGCAUCCUCUAAGCAUCUUGCUUUAUAACACCCACCCUACCAAAAAUCAUUGUUCUGACUUGAGAUUCAUUGAGGAAGACAGUUCCUCCAUCAAGUGGUAAGGAAUGUUACAGUGCUGGCUCUGAGUGUAGAUGGAUCUAAUUCGGCUGUUUUUGAAAUGUAUGAUUCCCUAAAUAUGUUUAACCUUCUGUCUGACAUGUUGCCCUUACUGCAAGGAAAAUUUAUCAUUUCCAUAUUUUUUUAUAAAUAGGAUGAAGAUGUUAAUAGUUGCUAAAUUUACAGCAUAAAAGCCCAACCAUUCUAUUUCUUUUACCAUCCCUCUUGAAUCAGCAGGCUCCUGGAGCCCUUUGUCCAUAGCUUCUAAAGAAAUAAGUCCAAAAUUUUAAUUUCACUUCCCACUGCAAGUGUUAUCUUAGUUGUUGAGUAAGACCCAGUCUCCCUGCAGGAAGCUGUUAGUAAUUCUAAUUUGAUGAAGCCUUCAUUUUCAACAGUAAUUAUAAUUAUCACCCAGUGUCUACUCACUCUCUUUCUUAGCAGGGGGGAAUAAUGGUACUGAUGGGAAUGAGAGCUCUCUUCCCUUCUCAUUGAGCAUAACUAUCCUUCUUUUUUCUUUGUUUAUAUCAAACUUUUCAAAGCAUCACAGCAUAGAAAUGCCAGUGGACAGCUACCAUCGUAAUUACCUGAUGUACAUUAUUUCUGCAAUCUACACUGGUAAUACACACACUUCCAAAAGAAAUUCUAAAUGGACUUGGAAUUGUGAGGCUGUUGGUAAUCAUACUCUGGUAAAGUCUGCAGCAGUGACUUGCAACAUGUGCAGAUAGUGCAGCAUGGAAGCAGAACAUGGAUCCAGCAUGAAUUCUAUAACAAGGAUCUCAAGAUGUCAGUGUCUGUUUUGCUGCUGGGACAGAAGGAUGUCACAAGCAGGAAACUCAAAGUCCACUUGCAGAUUGAGGCAGACUCUCCAUGACUUUCUGUUGACAGAAGGAAGGACUGAACUCCUUGAUGGCACCUAAGAGAAGGUUGAAAGAAGGUGAUUAAGAAGAUCACAGCUAUAGGACACCUGUACUUCUGUGAGCUUUGGUGUUUUUAGUAACAGCGGACCAUCCUGUGAUCUACAAAACAAAACUGCAAUAACGCCAAUUCUCACUUUUGAUCCUCCUCACUGUCCAGUUCCAAAAUCACUGACUUAGCUUGUGGAACUUGAAGAGCAACUCAGUCCUUGCCCUGACAAGAAAUAGUCACCUCAGCAAACCUCAAGAUUUCCCCAGUCUCCCUAGGGAAAGCUGCCAACGCUCCUGAAUUGGCUGAAUGUUCUCUGCCUUCUUCAGCACUGCACUAAAAAGCACAGAGCAGGAGGGUCGGAACCAUUCCUAAACUCAGCCAAAUAUUGUGAAGAAGGCUGGUCAGGUCAUCUUAAUGAACACAGAUCUUUCCUGAGUGUCACUGAGGUGCUUCUAGAAAAAAAUUAAAAAAAAAAACACAGAGAAUUUUUACAUGUAGAAAUGGCUAAUAUGGAUUGAAUAGAGAUAGGAAUAAAGAUCACUUUCAUGUUUGCUUGACAUGUUUUUCCUCAUCUAAGUAAAAUAUACUCUAAAUGAGAUUAUUUUGUGUUUAAAUCUUGUCUUGUCACCCAGCACCAGAGGACAGGCAGGCUCUUGGCAGAAUGAGAACUGGCCACACGGUUGUGGUUAGAAACAGA
This is a long non-coding RNA of Lagopus muta (rock ptarmigan), 2648 nucleotides long. RefSeq lists it as uncharacterized. Lineage: Eukaryota; Metazoa; Chordata; Aves; Galliformes; Phasianidae. The transcript is spliced from 4 exons. The record is from RefSeq and is a predicted model, not a curated record.